UCCAAAUCCAGACACUCUUCAGCGUAAUUACUCGCCACAUGACUGUAUCCAACUAAAACACCAGACUCUGGAUUAGGAUGAACAUCUUGGUCAAGAAGCCUAGAUGUUUUUCCACUGUCCUGUGGAUGAGAAAGGUGUAUAAGACACAGCAUCUCCUUUGACAGUUAAAUUGAUAAACACACAAGAGGCAGGCACACCUCCUACAUGGAGGAGCUCCUUACAUAAAAGAACGCCACAGGAAGUCAGUCAUGCCUGUGGCCAUCAAGCUGUGCGGCCACUUCUUCAGAGUGUCACACACACUGUCUGGCCCUGGAUUUCUUACAAACUGUAAACGACUCCAUUAGAUAGAAUCUAUUUCAACAGUGCAGUAUGACUGUAAACCAGUGAACCACCUGCUUAACAACCAUAAAGUGCAAUACUGUGAAAAGGCUGGUCAACAGUGUCUUUCAUAGAGCUGUCUGUCUAACACCUCAUGUUGUAUUCCUACUGUUCAAUGCUGCAAACUGCAAACGUCUCUUCUUAAUGCUUGUUCAAUUCCCUGCACUUUCUGCACAAAGCUUGUUACACUCUGCACUUUCUAUUAAUUCACAGUUCUAUUAAUGUUCCUUUAUAUUCAUACUUUUGUAGAGCAAGUGUAAUAACUGAAGUAUUUCUGAGUCUAAUCUGUCACCUGGUCAACUGUUUGCUGUUAAGAAAUAUCAAACCAGUUCUGUUGAGAACCGACCAACAAGAAGCAAUUAUUUAGCACUUACUUUGAAGGCUAUUAAGUGAACUCCAACUGUCGAUGUUUAAGAAGGAGGAAGAUCAAAUUAGUGUCAAAUGACAGUUUUCUAUGAGGUGCCAGUGUAGUGAUGUGAGCGCUGUGUAAAACAACCUGCUUAUCAAUUAUGAUCCCAAAUCGUUUAGCCCCCUAAACUCACAUGAUUUCAGGUCAAACAACAACGAACAGGAUUUUUGGAGAAAGAAAGUUGGUCAAAGCUUGCAAAAUACUGACAGUCAUAUGUAUUUGUUUAACCAGAAGAUGCUUAGAGUUGCUUAAAUAUGAAGGUCUAGAACUAGUGGGAAAAGCAUUCUGACAGAACAUUUGUCAUUUCAAAGCUUUGCAUUUCUUUCAGAAAUAGGCUUACAUUCAGAAGAAAGUCAAUUACAGUGUUACAACCUGUUCUCUGAACUGCUAGAAUCCCGGUUAUCUGGCUGCCUGUGAAAUGUGUGAUAUAAAGCCGACAUGCUGCAGGAAAAUAACGUAUUGUGACUGUAGGUUCCCCCUGUGGGGUGAUUUUCUGUGAGCCAGCUCAGUAACACACAGUUUGAGGAGAUUUGUCUGUGCUGAUAGUGGUGGUAAAGCUGUUUUGACAGGUUCACACCUGAAAGGGGGAAAAACACCCAACACCCAGUUUGCAACUUUGUCCUCCAGUGUUUGUGCUCUGAAAACACAUCAUUCACCACUCUGUCAAAGCUUUUCCUCACAUCUUCAAUGUGCAUGUUUUAACCUUUGAAUUGAUGCUCCAUUUGUGUCAAUCUUACCCCUGUAAUACCCUACAUUAUCUCACUACUAAAUGUGGUUAAUUGCAUCAGCUAGCCUGUUUGCAGAGGACUGUUUGUCAAAUGUCAGGAGGGGAGUCAGCGUGCCAAAGCUGCUGUCGUGUUUAUCGAACAAUCUGUGUGUACUUCUGUCCAAUCAGACCAUCAUUUCAGCUCGACGGUGCACUGCAAAAAUAUCUAUACACUUACUCAACUAUAUCAUUCAUUUUUCAGAGAGGAGCCCGGAAUGUAAAUGGAGGCAUUCACCUUGAGGCUCACACACACAUACACACACACACACACUCACUCACUCACAGAUGGAGAGAUGGAUGGAGGGAUUGGAUUUAGUGAACAUGACCUUGUAGGUGUCGUUUCAUUAUUGAGACUGAAGGCUUCAGACCGGCAGACGUUCAGCUCGGCUGAUUCUGACGAUGAGAGCUAAAAGAUGUGAGCCUGGAUUUUCCCGAUUUACCCUCUGCAGCUCAGGAAACAGAGCACUGCAGGUCGAGACAGGACAGGAUAACCACUUUAGAGCUGAGCUGACCACAGGAGGGUUACACAUAACUAUUAUUUACUCUAUAUAUUAAUCUGAUAACUCUCUAAUUGAUGCUUUGUAGUAAAAUGUGGUGUUGAGGUACUUUAGACCAGCUUUGAGAGCAUUUUUUUUAACUUGUCUGGAAGUAGAUCGUAAGUUUAGUCUGUCUUGUCUCCCUGGAGGCCACGAUUUAAUUCAGCAUCAUGAAUCUGUAACAGUCCUACUCAAUCAGCCAAUCUCACAGAGUCUGAGACACCUAGAUUUCCUUACUCCUUCAUUUUAACAGGAUCCUGAGGAGAGAGAACAUGUUUUCAGUCUGGUGAAUAGCACAAAAAAGGAGUGUUCAUUACAGAUAGUUAAGAUGGUUUUGGGAAGUAUCUGUUUGUGUACUCAUUGAAAACAAACAUGUUUCCAUGUUUCUGCCACCCUUCAGCAGUGGUGUCGGAAAUUAAAAAGGCAGUGGAAUAAAAAGAGAGAUUAGAGAGAUUAGCAAAGUGGAAAGCUGUGAGAAGAGAGAUUUUCUGAAGAAUAGACAAAGCUAAAAGAAGAGUAAUGUUGAUAUUUUUGCUUAUAAAUCGCCUCUAUUGAAUGACACGUCAAAAACAAAAACUUCACCUUGCUAAAAUAAGACAUUGAAACAUGAAGAUAGAAACAUGCUGAACAUUUACGAGGCUCAAAUGAUAGUUUUUUCACAAAUUUCACAUUUUGGCUCACUUCGAACUGAGUCUUGUGAUUUUUUUCUCCUCUUUUGUAUUGGGAGUUUAAUUUGAGCCUCUCCAGACCAGCACAGACUGUGGGCCUCUUUGUUCACCUUCCCGUACAGUGUGAAUAUAUGUCUGUAUUUACUCAGAGUGGAGCAGUUAUCUUCCCAAGCCUGCAGAGUCAACGUCUGCACCAAUUACACGCUUUAUACAUUCAACAACCCUCCCUGAGAAUCACUCUCGCCCGGAGCGCUCCCAUAAACAAAGCAUAAUGUGGCUCCAUGCGUUUAACACAACAUGGUGCUGCAGCGGGCGAGGGAGCGGGCGGCGUUUUUACAUGGGCUGUCUGUACAGGGAAUUUAAUGAUGUUGUUGGUAUGAAAACAAACCAAACACACAAAUCAUGUGUGUGUGUGUGUGUGUGUGUGUGUGUGUGUGUGUGUGUGUGUGUGUGUGUGUGUGUGUGUGUGUGUGUGUGUGUGUGUGUGUGGAUAAUCAUGAUGAUUAUUGAUAUUGAGAUCAGGAUUAUUAAACAUGAUUACUCAUGAAUGGACAUCUGCAUCACAGGCUUUCACAGAACUUUAAAGCUCCUAAACUGAAACACUCUCAGCUCUUUCUAAUAAAAAAUAAAAAACACAAAAUGAACAUGAACAGGAAAAAAUAACUGUCAAUCUUUUUUUAACAGCCUAGAUCAGAACACUUGUCCUGUUUAUGCCGUCCCUUGGCUUUUCAGACACACCUGCCUCCUGCUGCUCCUCUCCCUGCUCUCCUCUCUCCUACUCCUCUCCCUGCUCUCCUACUCCUGCACUUCUCCUUGCUCUCCUCUCUCCUACUCCUCUCCCUGCUCUCCUACUCCUGCACUUCUCCCUGCUCUCCUCUCUCCUACUCCUCUCCCUGCUCUCCUACUCCUGCACUUCUCCCUGCUCUCCUCUUUCCUACUCCUCUCUCCUACUCCUCUCCCCGCUCUCCUCUUUCCUUCUCCUCUCCCGGCUCUCCUCUCUCCUCCUCAUACUCCUCUCCCUGCUCUCCUCUCUCCUACUCCCCUCCCAGCUCUCCUCUCUCCUUCUCCUCUCCCUGCUCUCCUACUCCUGCUCCUUUCCCUGCUCUCCUCUCUCCUCCUCAUACUACUCUCCCUGCUCUCCUCCUCCUACUCCUCUCCCUGCUCUCCUUUCUCCUCUCUCCUACUCCUCUCCCUGCUCUCCACUCUCCAACUGUGUGCUGUACGAUAGUUUGCACUGCUGUUGCACAACUUCCUUGUGAAACUUCCUCGUUCUCCCAAAC
RNAcentral lists this long non-coding RNA (4037 nucleotides) under Xyrichtys novacula (pearly razorfish). The record is from RNAcentral. Lineage: Eukaryota; Metazoa; Chordata; Actinopteri; Labriformes; Labridae.